Long non-coding RNA from Bos taurus (domestic cattle), 431 nucleotides. The record is from Ensembl. NCBI's taxonomy places the organism in Eukaryota, Metazoa, Chordata, Mammalia, Artiodactyla, Bovidae.
GCCAGGCCCCACACCCAGAGGCAGCUCUUUUUCCAAGUCGGCUGGAAUCUCAACGAUAUGCAGUCUUCGAACCUCCUGCUGCACACCUAAGGCACUGUGGUUCAUCAGCACCAUCCUUCUAGAUUCCAUAUGCAUGAGUUAUUUACGUGUACUCAAAGGAGAAGCCUGACAUCAGAAACAGAAAUCCAAGAACCUUGUCCAUCUUUCCUGCUUCUGCUGCUGCCAAGUUGCUUCAGUCGUGUCCGACUCUGUGCGACCCCAUAGAGGGCAGCCCACCAGGCUCCCCUGUCCCUGGGAUUCUCCAGCGGAUGGGAGUUCAAUCCCUGCUGGGGGAGCUAAUAUCCUACACACUGCGAGGCAACAAGAGAAGCCCUCUGCCUCUGCUAUGGAUCGUAACUAGAGAAAGCCAGCACACCUCAAUGAUGAGCCCC